GAUGAACGCUGGCGGCGUGCCUAAUACAUGCAAGUCGAGCGAACGGACGAGAAGCUUGCUUCUCUGAUGUUAGCGGCGGACGGGUGAGUAACACGUGGAUAACCUACCUAUAAGACUGGGAUAAUUUCGGGAAACCGGAGCUAAUACCGGAUAAUAUUUUGAACCGCAUGGUUCAAAAGUGAAAGACGGUCUUGCUGUCACUUAUAGAUGGAUCCGCGCUGCAUUAGCUAGUUGGUAAGGUAACGGCUUACCAAGGCAACGAUGCAUAGCCGACCUGAGAGGGUGAUCGGCCACACUGGAACUGAGACACGGUCCAGACGCCUACGGGAGGCAGCAGUAGGGAAUCUUCCGCAAUGGGCGAAAGCCUGACGGAGCAACGCCGCGUGAGUGAUGAAGGUCUUCGGAUCGUAAAACUCUGUUAUUAGGGAAGAACAUAUGUGUAAGUAACUGUGCACAUCUUGACGGUACCUAAUCAGAAAGCCACGGCUAACUACGUG
This 497-nucleotide ribosomal RNA is filed under the name uncultured bacterium. Its description in RNAcentral is "partial 16S ribosomal RNA". It matches the Rfam family "Bacterial small subunit ribosomal RNA", at positions 28 to 507 of the family's 1533-position model. The record is from RNAcentral.